AUGUUUGGUAUUCAGUACAAAACUUACUCUGCAAGUACUUACCUCUUUCCAAAUCUCCAUUUUAAACAGUUUUGGGCGUUUGUUCAAUUUUACCGAACUCCUGAACACCGUAUAUUUGUACGGCAACAGCUGGUGAAGCAGCUUGGAUCUCAUUGGCUCAUCAUGAGGUAUAUACUGGAUAUGUCCCUAUGGAUUACAGAGAAUAUCUUAAGAAGAUGCCAAAGUCAGUGCCUGCUCCUUUUCACUAUUUAUUUACCAGUAAAUAUUUAUCAAUUAGAGUGGAAGGAUGAACUGUCCUUACAUUUCUAUGCUUAUUACUGA
This 321-nucleotide ribosomal RNA is filed under the name Triticum aestivum (bread wheat). Its description in RNAcentral is "partial small subunit ribosomal RNA". The record is from RNAcentral. Lineage: Eukaryota; Viridiplantae; Streptophyta; Magnoliopsida; Poales; Poaceae.